AGCGAACGCUGGCGGCAGGCUUAACACAUGCAAGUCGAACGGACCCUUCGGGGUUAGUGGCGGACGGGUGAGUAACACGUGGGAAUGUGCCCUUAGGUUCGGAACAACACAGGGAAACUUGUGCUAAUACCGGAUGUGCCCUUCGGGGAAGGAUUUAUUGCCUUGGUAGCAGCCCGCCGUCUGAUUAGCUAGUUGGUGAGGUAAAGGACUCACCAAGGCGACGAUCAGUAGCUGGUCUGAGAGGAUGGCCAGCCACAUUGGGAC
Molecule: ribosomal RNA, 264 nt
Filed under: uncultured bacterium
Lineage: Bacteria
Description: partial 16S ribosomal RNA
Rfam family: Bacterial small subunit ribosomal RNA
Source: RNAcentral